RNAcentral lists this transfer RNA (83 nucleotides) under Nostoc sp. RNAcentral's name for it is "tRNA-Tyr". It matches the Rfam family "tRNA". From Rfam's summary of the family: Transfer RNA (tRNA) molecules are approximately 80 nucleotides in length. Lineage: Bacteria; Bacillati; Cyanobacteriota; Cyanophyceae; Nostocales; Nostocaceae. The record is from RNAcentral. RNAcentral also lists the same sequence under 5 other names.
GGGUCGGUGGCCGAGUCUGGUUGAAGGCGACAGUCUGUAAAACUGUUCUUUUUUGCGCGCAGGUUCAAAUCCUGCUCGACCCA